GGACAAUGUAUAAUGGUUUGUAUUAAACUUGAAUUCAAUGAUAUAAUAUAUUAAUAUAAUAAUAUCAUUGUAUAAGGAAAACGAUUCUGAGCGGAGACGGCCGGUUUAUCAGUCAGGAUUUUUUUAAUUUUUAUUAUUUAUUAUAGCCUUUAAGAAGAAUUAAUAUUAUAAUAUUGUAAUUUUUUACUCGUUCCUACGGUGUUAAACAAUUCGUUUUUUUAUAUGAUUUUAAUAUUUGUACGUAUAUUAAUAGGUAGCAUAUUGGAAUACUGUAGUUGUGUUAGGACCUCCAAGCUUGGACUUACCCUUUAUAGGUCUCUGGUAGCUAUAUUUACCAGUUUUUUAUUUUUCCACAGAUGAGUUAUUGCCUAUGCCCUAUUGGUAUAUUAUUUUACCACUUGGGAACAAAUCUACUUUACUGGACACAUUUUUUUUUUUUACUGUUCUAGAACCGUUCAAGAAAUUACUGCAGCUUUAGACGCAACUUUUCUAGAAACCCGGGUGCCCGUGAGUGAUAAGAGAAAAUGGUAAAAGUGGUGGGAUAUACGACGGUUAUCAACAACUUGUGGUGGCGUUUUAGUCGGGGGAUAUUUUCGAAUUUUUUUUGUCCGAGCGCAGCGCAGCGAGCGACUGGCCAAGCGGGCAUCACUGUAAAUGAUAUACGAUUUUUUUCACGUUUGCAACCCUGUAGGGCAUUUGCCGGGCACCUACACACUAUAUAGACAGUUGUAGACAGUUAGACACAACGUUUUGUUUCAUUUUUUUUUUUUUUCGAAAACGUGGUUUUUACGUGGACACGACAGAAGGAAGUUGGCCCCCAGACUUUUCCAUAUACUCUCAACUAGUGCCAAUAUUCAGCAACCUUUUAGCAACUUUUGGCAACCAACGUGUAACCAAAAUCGGCAUAAUAAAACUGGAUGGCCAAUUUCAUGCCGCCCCCGACUUUGCAUGCAAACGUAAAAGAAAAUGUCAAUAUAUACAUCCAGUGAAAAUUUUAAGUAUCUUCGGUUAUUAAUUUUUUUAGUUACAUCAACAAAUUUAAUCGAUUUUGUCAAGAACUGGUAUUGCAUAAAACUCCGUUAUCCUUUAUUUUUUUCCCCAACGCUUUUAAAACCUAUUGUGAAACCUCUCAAAAGUACCAACUAGAUUAAGUUUUUCAUCUAAAAAGAUGCUGAAAUAUAAAAUAUUAUAUUAAAUUAUAAUAUAUAAUUCCUCGUUCCGCUCAGAAUCAGAAGUAGUAAGUUUAAAGAACCUCUUGGACGUGCUUGAUUUAUUUUUAGAAUCAACUUGUUGGAAAUCAUAUGUUGACAUGUUAAUUAAAUGAAAAGACUUAGAAGUUUGUAUAUUAAAAAAUAUUCUAUACGCCGUAAGGUAUAUGUUGAAACUAAGAUUGGCGAUAUUGGUGGGGUAUUAAAAGUACUUUGUAUUAAAAUAGUGCAGGAGUUUUUGACCGUAGCUAGUUGGUAGGUACUGAAGAAUGGCGUCUGGUAUCCAUACGCCGUUCCUCAGUACUGCGGUCAAAAACUUCUGCACUAUAUAAAUUCUAGGUACUUUUAAUACCACAAAUGCUGCCAACCUUAGUUUCAACAUUCAACUUACGACGUAUAGAAAAUUAUUUAUUACACCAACUCCUAAAUCUUUUCUUUUGAUUAACAUGCCAACAUAUGUUUUCCAGCUAGGAGAUUCCGAAGAUAAGUCUAGUACGUCCAACAGACUUCAGAGUUGCUUUAAAAACACCAACCAGCAGCUACAGAAAACACAAAAUUAUUAUGACGUGUGAUAAUUUCUGGUUCAUGCUGCUAUCGGUUGAUUUUGAGUCAUACCAUUCUCUAUUAACAUUUGCUUUAGUCCACAUACCGCUAAAAUAACCUGAUAGAAUUAAUUCGAUAAAAAUAUAGGAAAGAGGAAUAUCUACUAGAAGUAUGUCUAUAUGUCUACUAGUAGAAGUGCCUGGUCGUUGUGCUUGUCAUAACAGUUGGAGUAUUGAAUAAUGUCUUAUAUUAUGUGAUAAAUCAAUAUUUUAGGGUGCGUCUACCGGUUGCAUAUUGUUGUGACGUUAACGUUUUGUUUUUGUUUGCAUCAAUAAACGUUGGUGGCCGGAGAAGAAACAAUGCUAAAAGCAGCAGCUCCUUUCUUGGUCCUCAAUACCACUUAAAAAAAAAAGAGCAGUUGCAAUGUUUGGUGUCUUGUGUGUCGUGGGUGGAAGAAACUGAACUAAUAAAUUGGAUUCUGUAGAAUUGUAUAGUCCCACCAUCAAUACCUGGACCAUGAUUACAGCGUCAAUGAAUGUUGCACAAAAUUAUCCAGGAGUAGUAGGCAGUAGCCAUUAAUAAGCCACUUCGUUUUAAAAGGUGUUACCAUACUUAAUUUUUUUUUCUGUAGUUAUAAUACCUUAUAAUUGUUAAUAUAUUUAUUGUUUUCCUAUUCAUUUAAAGUUUUUGAAUGUUUUAUUAAAAUGUAAUUGUACAAUUUAAAUUGACUAACACAAAAAUAAACAAAGUUCAAAAUGUAUUAAAAUAGUAUAUUUUUAUGUAUAAAAGUGUAAAACACAAAAUAUUUGUUUUUCUUUGUUUUCAAGAUCUUAAACAAUAUGUUGGCACAAUGUGUCGUGUACCCAUUUUAUUUAAUUAUAGAUAUUUUAUAAUACCUAAUA
Molecule: long non-coding RNA, 2653 nt
Organism: Metopolophium dirhodum (rose-grain aphid)
Lineage: Eukaryota; Metazoa; Arthropoda; Insecta; Hemiptera; Aphididae
Exons: 3
Source: RefSeq, a predicted model, not a curated record